This 7141-nucleotide long non-coding RNA is filed under the name Eucalyptus grandis. RNAcentral's name for it is "long non-coding RNA (EGRA_LNC002579)". Lineage: Eukaryota; Viridiplantae; Streptophyta; Magnoliopsida; Myrtales; Myrtaceae. The record is from RNAcentral.
UAAUUAGCAAACUAAGAAAGCAUUAGUGAGUAAAACUCACUUGAUAAAAAGCGGGGACCGGGACACCGCGACGGCAACACGACGACGGCCGAAAUUGGGCUUUCGACGACCUCGGCGGGCUUGGACCGGGCCUUAAAUUUGGCCCAACAAAUCUCAGCCCAACUGAGAUUUAUUCUUGCUUUUAGGCUGGACCCAAAUUGGGCUGGGCCUGCUGAAGACGGGCUUCAAGUUGUGGACUAGACUUCAUUUGCUUUGCUGCAAAUUGGGCCUCAAAAUUUCAAUUCAUGGGCUGCUGGAUUGGGCUUGACCAAAUAACUCACUUGGAUUGGACUGGGCUUAAAAACUUGCUGCUAAAGGUUGGGCCGAAGAUCUGAAGAUGUUGGGCUGAAGAGGCCGAACUUUGGGCUGUCUCACACGGGCUGGAUGGACGCUGGCGCACGGGGGAAGCUGCUGCGUGUGAGCUGCUGCACGUAGGAAAACGGAGGGCGACGCACGCGGCUUUGUUGGUCUUCGAUUGCUUCGUGCGCGGCAGCUGGAAGACUCGGUGGUCUUCAAAUUGCUGAAGACGAGGGAGCAAGGGCGUUGAUGCCGCGAGGAAACGUGGGAGCUUCGGUCACCGCCUGGGAAAAUCUUGCGAACGUGCUGGCAGCCGAAGGAAAAGAAGCGGACGCGUGGGGAUUUCUUCGGUGGACUCGCUUCAUGGAAUUUUGGGGCUGCUUCAGUCAACUAAAGCUUCAAUUGUUGACUUGAGGCAUGAGCUACAGAUGUGGGGUGAUGGUGGAAGAUGGGAUGAUGAUAGAUGGUGAUGAUAUGGUGGUGGAGAUGGAUGGGUGAUGAGGAUGAAAUGAUAGUGGAGACGUGCGUGGCUGCAGGCGUGAAGGAAGUCGUGCGGCAGAGGUUUUCAGUCGUAGAAAUAGAUGGAAAGAAAACAAGAGCAGUUGCUUCGUUGGUGUCAUGGCGAAGGCGCUCGGUUGACGGAGAGAGACGAAGGAACGGUAUACGAAGAUGAAGAUCGACAGAGGCUUGCUCAACAAGCUGAAAGGGAGAGAAGCCGUUCGAAGGAGGAUGAGGCGGCGGUCAAAGCUGCUGGGAAGUCACGGGUGGGGCCAAAAAUCUACAAAUAUCUUAUACACUUAAUUGCUUGGUCCCCACUCUAAGCCUCCAACCUUAUCCUAAGGUCUCUUAAUUCUUUCUUGUCUAAUAAAUCCACUAAUUAACUUAAUUUGAAGCCAAAAUUCCAGCUCUAUUUAAAGCUCCGAAUUUUCAAUUUCUGACUUCAAUAUCUUCGACUAAUUCUCCGUUCGACGUCCAAUUUAGCCAAGGAAAAAGCCCAUAUGAUUAUAUGUAAGUGCCCAUCGCCAAAAAGCUCAGCUUGAAAGUCAAAACUCCUUUAAAUUCGGCCCGUAUGAAUUUCCGUUAAUUUUCCGCGACGUCCGAUUCGAUUUUCCGCUAAAAUCUCAGAAUCUCUGAAAAAUCUUCUGAGACUGAGUUAACAUUCCUAAAAUAGCUCGUGACACCACAGAACUUUCAAUUUUUGAAAUCGGGUUCGAAUUCACGGUUAAUUUCCAUUCGACGCAUUUUUAGCGUGACCUAGACUACUGGGUAACUUUCAGAACUUUUCAGUGCAAAUGACCUGUGGUCGAUUUUCUUCGAGCCACUAUGAACCCACUCGACUCAUUGGCGACUCUCGAUUGUUGUGAAAAUCUCGAUGAUCCAAAUACGGACACAGGGUAUCAAAACGAUAGAGAAACCAAAUUAGUGUCGGCCGACGAGAAUUUUCCAAUUUAGUGGUGUCACCCACGAUUAGCCACACAUCUCAAUCGAACCAACCUAUAUCUGAUCUCAAAUCGAUUUAUAUCUGUGCCGUAAUGAUCUUGACAGAUGAGCACGAUCAAGAAGCUGAUUCCUGGUCGAGUUCUCAAGUCUAUUUGCCUUAAAAUCCUUAAUGGUUUCCCUAGAUAGUCUAGUUAUCUCUGGAAUGAUCAGUUCUGAGAACAGCCCUAUAGAUGCGUAAAUGAAAUGUCCGAUUUAUUCAGCAGAAAACAGGGUUGAAAAUCUGGGAUGUCACAACUCUUCCCCUCUUAUAAAAAUUUCGUCCUCGAAAUUUAAACCUUUACCAUUCCUUAAAUGAAAAUAUGGGGGUAUCGUCGUCUCAUCUAGUCUCACUUCCCUCGGUUUCUUCUUCAGUCCCGUGGUAUUGUUAUACCACUUUGACCAAGGGGACCUUCUUGAUACACCGAAUCUGAUCUUUCUGAUCCACAAGCUGAACCGAACUUUUCAUGUACGACACUUUGUCGUCCACGCCUAAUUCUUCAAGAUUUAGCACGUGGGUCCUGUCAGGCUCAUAUGUCCUCAACAUCGACACGUGAAAGACGUCAUGCAUUUGCGCUAACCUCGGCGGCAAUGCAAGACGAUACAAUAGGAUCCCGAUUCUUUUCAGAAUCUCAAAGGGACCUACGUACUUCGAUUUCAGAUUUCUCCCCUCCUUGCUGAAGCGCAAGGUAUCCCUCAUUGGUGACACCUUCAGAAAGCUGUACUCACCAAUUUAGAACUUUUGGGGCCUUCAAUGCUCAAUAACUCAAUUAUUCUGGUAGUUCUGAGCAGUUUGCACUCUGGCACUGAUCACGGCGAUGGCAACUACUAACUGCUGAACUGACCCUCGACCUAAUCUUUCUUUCUUUGAUCUCAUCUCAACAAACUGAAGUUAUGCACACUCUGCUCUGUUCUGCCUCAAAAGGAACUAUCUGAUUGAUCUGUUGAAACUGGGAACCUCGGUUCUAGAUCCAAUAUAAGUUCAUCAUUAGUACUCCACGCAGACGAACUACCUGACACACAUACACUUAUGCCUGCCUAUUUCAAUCAAGAUCUUUUCAUACUACACUAAAGUGAAUCGACUUCAUCAGUCUAUCAACCCCAUCCAAAAGGGAUCAUUGUUUCUCUGAUUCCCUGACAAGCUAGUCACAAGGUUCAUCAUAACCUACUUCCAUUCCCACUCGGAAUUCUCGCGUGACUGUAAAAGUCCUCCCAGCUUGCAUUACUGAAUUCCCACUUACUAACACAUCUGACACUUACAACCUGUCCGGCGAUAUCUAUUCUUAUAUCGAUCUACCAUUCGAGCUUACGCUGAUUCUGACCUACCUCGCACUGUAUGGUCAAAUACUGCAACUAUUAUAGUGAAUCCCUGACAAGGUCUCUUCCUCAAGUUCCAUACUGUCUGACACUUAUCAUCACUUACGAUACCUCGAUGUUCCAUCUUCCGAAAUCUUAACGUCAACUUUUCCCCUACCGGUAUCCUCUUGCAGGAUUUUCUAAACAUUAUGGUUUGUCAAGUGAAGCGUCUUUCCAGGGUGAUACAAGACAUCUCGAUCACCAUUCUUCUAAAAUUCUAACUCAUGACGCUGUCUUCAAUAUAAUUUCCUUCAAUGGAUUAAACUAUAUCACAUUGCAACAACAAUUCAUUACACAAAAGCUCCUCGAGCUAAAUCUUUUCAUAUACGGUAUCAAAUUUAUACAUAGGCAAAGGAUUCAAGUACAACCAUAACUAGAGAUUCAUUUUCCUACCACUUUAUUACGACAACGGAAAUUUCACAACCUUCACUUAAAAUCCCGCUGCUCUACUCUGAAAAAAACACCUCAAAAACAUUCUUCCUUUGCUCGGUGCCUAGUCAGUCCAUUCCUGUUCUUUUCGUCAUCCUAGUGGUGUUCUAUCUGCGGUGCUUUCCUUUUGUCCAGUCCUCCGGUGAUGGCAUACACUGUACCCUGAACUGGUGGUUUUAGCUUACCUCCUUGCGGCGCAUUCUGAGGUGCAUACCCUCUGAUCUAUCCCAAAGGUGGCGGUGGCGGCAACUGCGGUUGUCCUCUUCGCUUUUUAGGACAGUCUCUGGCUAUGUGGCCCUAUUGGCCACACUCAAAACAGGCGCCCGUCCUUCGAGGGCACUGGUUCGAUCCAUGUCGACUUCCACAAGCGCGACAUAAAUCAUUCCUACUUGGCCCAAACUUGCCAACUCCACCCUUCCCGUUGGACGGGAUAUGAAAUCUAUUUCCAAGCAUGGGUCUUUUUCCUUGAUGGGUAUUCUCUCGAUGGGAGCUAAACCUCAAUCCAGAUGAAGCAGCUUGUUCAUUCAAUGCUCGCUCUAUCAUCUGGGCUCGCCGAUAAACCUCUCUGUAAUCUUUCAAGUCCCAUGGUAGCAGAGGUUGUUUCAAUUCAGCACGAAGACCGCUUUUGAACUUCCGAGCUUUCUCUUCAGGGUCUUCUAUCAGUUUAGGAGCAUACCGUGAUAGUUCUGCGAACUUGACCCCAUACUGGUCAACUGUCAUGCUCCCUUGGCGGAGACAGUAGAACUCCUCUAUCUUUUGUUCCCGAGCAGUACUCGAAAAGUACUGAUCAUUAAAAGCGCUAAGGAAGGUGUCCCACAGUUGGACCACACCUUCCGGGAAUACUAUAUCCUUGGCGGAUCUCCACCAUAUAUUGGCGUUACCUUGAAGUUGGUACACAGCUAGUAACACAUUUUCCUCCUCAUUGCACAUCAGAAGUGCAAAUGCCUUUUCCAAAUCUUGUACCCACAGAGACGCGGCCUCAGGGUCUCCGGUGCCCAUGAAUUUUGGCAGAUUCAUAUUUAAGAACUGAUCCACUAACUGGUGAACCGGCCUCCCAGCGGCCACAACUCCUGGUAGUAUUUCAGCAGGCGUAACGGCAGGUGCAACUACGGGUGCAGCAGCAGGUACGGCGGCAGCUGCGGCAGCAAUGGCAGCGUUGGCGACGGCAGUGGCGGCAGCUUCAACAGCGGCAGUAAAGGCGGCAGUUUGAUCUCGGGCCUGUUGCCCCAUCAUCUCCCGCAUAGCAUCUAGAGCCUGGUUGAUUCCGACAGUUCCUUGCUCACCCGGGGUUGCUACCUCAGCACCAACAAGAGGUGGUGCUACUCUAGCAUCUACAACAGGUGGAAUAAUUCCACUCGCGCUAGCCUGUGCUGGCGCUCGACCAUGGCCUCCUCGGGUACCGACUCUAGUUGGCGCUCCUCCCCGAGUCACGGCCCUACUGGCCCUCUUUGCAGGAGUCCUCGGCUCCUGAUCGUUCAUAGUGUCACUUUAAACAACUAACACCUGCUUCCAAUUCAACACCGAAUUAGAAACAGAGCGAUUCAAACAACAAACAAUUUUAGCACUCAGCUAACACAGACAUGCAUAAGCAUGAAUUUAAAGGCCUUUCCUACCAACUAUCCCAUGGUCAACGCUCCUUAUCACUCCAAUCUUGAACUUCGCUCUGAUACCACAAAAAGGGGAUGUCACGCCCCGAUCCUCGGGGACGCGUCCAUCCUUCUUAUUGGUCGAUUUUAAAGUGCGAUAUCCCAGGACUAAGUAUCGCCGACCCUUUCAUUUUAUUACGCAGGCGGAAGUAGUUAUAAAUCCCCAGACAAUAAAACAAUGGGAUAGAAAGCAGGCCAUAUUUUUCAUAUUGAAAUUCACAACCACACUUUCAUUAACAGCACAACUCAUAGUAUAUUUACAAUACUAUUCACAGCAUACUUGUCUCACACCUAUCUACACCAAGACAGGGUUUACAAAAGGGAUGAGAUCUCAAUCCACUUCCGGGUUAUACUCAAGAUCCCUCUCUGGAUCAUCUUUUUCUUCAAAAGUCUUUCUCCCCUUUAGGUUCCUCCUCCUCAGCUUCUCCUCAGGGUCCUGAAAUGGUUAUUCAAUAACCAAUGAGACCAUGUCUCAGCGAAUUCUACCCCCUAAUACCCGAUUAGUAAACUAAUACACCUUAGGCUGCCUAAACACAUCACGAGUCAGAGGACUUACCUUGGCCUCAGCUCCUUCCUGCAAGUUAGUAUAUAUAUCAAAUAUACAUCAUCACAUCACAUCACAUCACCUAAUCAGAUCGAAUCAUCGAUCAAUCGACCUAGUCGAUUACAUGUCAUCCAAAUUAUCUCUUGAUCGACCCCUUCCAUACUUUCUAUAAGUCUGAUCAACAUCCAAGACUACUCACCCUAGGUGAUAUAUAGAUAGUAUGUUAUCUUAUCUCCAUACGACAUAUAGAGUCAUUGAGCUAUCAAAUCAUACCGUACUGUCUCCAGAUGCUCCGUAGAGUCAUUGAGCCGGUAGAUCAUACCGUGUUGUCUCAAGAUGCUCCGUGGAGUCAUCGAGCCGGUAUACACACAAUUUAUCAUACCGUACUGUCUCCAGAUGCUCCGUAGAGUCAUCGAGCCGGUAGAUCAUACAAUUUAUCAUACCAUACUGUCUCAAGAUGCUCCGUAGAGUCAUCGAGCCGGUAGAUCAUACCGUCCUGUCUUAAGAUGCUCCGUGGAGUCAUCGAGCCAGUAUACAUGCCAUUUCAAGCAAUCAAUCAAAUAACUAAUUUUAUCCUUUCCGAUAAAAUGACGUGUGUGGGUACACGAUCGACCCUAGCCAAAAUAUAAUAAUUUGCUUUUUAUAAAAUCCCACCAUUUUCUGUAGUCCACUAAAACAUUUUUGGUAUCGUUAACUGAUGUUCGGUUAAUUUCCAAUUAAUUUUCCAAGAUUAUUUCAAUUAGGGAAUAAAUCCUAAAUCCUCAAAUAAAUCAUUUCCGCACAAAAUAAAGCUUAAUUAAAUAAACGAAAUGCAUCACGACAAUCAGCAUAAAAUUUUGGUCACCGACCAUCUCGGUUGAAUUUCCGGAAAAAUAAAUAAAUAAAUAAUUUCGAAUGAAUAAAUAAAUAAAUACCAAAAAUCCAAUUUAGGCCCAUUUUGCCUGAUUGGACGCCAGAACGGAUCGAGAAAAAUCCCGAGAUACAUUCAAUAAAUAUUAGAAGCUCUCUACUUGCUAAUGACUAAGUCUAACCACCUAACAUGCAUCAUUAAGUCACUAAUUUAAUUGUUCUAGACUAAUCUAACCACAUAAUUGUACUUAAUUAAAUCUAAUCAACCCCUAAGCAUAAUUAACAAACUAAGAAAGCAUUAGUGAGUAAAACUCACUUGAUAAAAAGCGGGGACCGGGACACCGCGACUGCAACGCGACGACGGCCGAAAUUGGGCUUUUGACGACCUCGGCGGGCUUGGACCGGGCCUUAAAUUUGGCCCAACAAAUCUCAGCCCAACUGAGAUUUAUUCUUGCUUUUAGGCUGGACCCAAAUUGGGCUGGGCCUGCUGAAGACGGGCUUCAAG